CCCCAAAGUCACAAACUGUGCUUCAAAACUGCCUUUGCUUUUUUUGUAAUUUUAUAAAACCAGGCCACAGAUCCAGAUGCAGGAAGCAAUGGACUUUUGACGUACAGCUUAUUGAAUUGUCAAGAAGAAUUUGAUGUCAAUGAAAAUACAGGGGAGAUUUAUACAGUUUCUAUAUCAGGAAUAGCUGGAUCACUUUUUCUGAAACUCCAAGCUGCAGACCAAGGUGGACUCACAGCCCGCACAACAGUCAAUGCAACUAUUUAUGUCACCUCCAGUAGCAACAUUGUGGUGUUUGUUCUUAAUCAGAAGAUCAACGCUGUUGAAAGAAACAUUGAUGAAGUAAAAAGGGUCCUGGAGGAGAAACUUGAAUGGAAUGUAUACAUUGUUGAAGUUUAUUCCAAUGAGCUCGAAAGGAGAGCAAGAAACACCAUGAAUGAAACCUUCAUAAAAAUUAUUGCAAUUGGUAACGCAAAUGGUGAAAUACCUGCAGAAGAUGUUAAAAGGUCUGUACAGUAAAUCUUCUGGGUGUCAGAG
This 534-nucleotide long non-coding RNA is filed under the name Chrysolophus pictus (golden pheasant). Its description in RNAcentral is "lncRNA (ENSCPIG00010009455.1)". The record is from RNAcentral. Lineage: Eukaryota; Metazoa; Chordata; Aves; Galliformes; Phasianidae.